CGCGCCCUCGCAGGAGAGCGAGGCGCCCGAUGCGCCUCCGCCGAAGGCGCAAACUCCCAUGAUCGCUCAGGCCCAGCACUGCGAGAUUCCG
RNAcentral lists this non-coding RNA (91 nucleotides) under Aquipseudomonas alcaligenes. RNAcentral's name for it is "Pseudomonas alcaligenes Glycine sequence". It matches the Rfam family "Glycine riboswitch aptamer". From Rfam's summary of the family: This family represents the bacterial glycine riboswitch. The record is from RNAcentral. Lineage: Bacteria; Pseudomonadati; Pseudomonadota; Gammaproteobacteria; Pseudomonadales; Pseudomonadaceae.